Long non-coding RNA from Magallana angulata, 726 nucleotides. RefSeq lists it as uncharacterized. The record is from RefSeq and is a predicted model, not a curated record. NCBI's taxonomy places the organism in Eukaryota, Metazoa, Mollusca, Bivalvia, Ostreida, Ostreidae. The transcript is spliced from 2 exons.
GAUGAACAGCACAGUUCAGAGGUUCGAUAUCGAUGAAGAUGAACAACGUUCACUAUAGUUCACUCAUGGUCCUCAAAAGUUCAACUAGCCUUUUCUAUUGUUUGCAUUCAUUGAACUUGUUCCGUGUCGUACAAACUACCAUUAGGACCUUCUGUUGAAUUUGAGAGAUGAUUGGACAGUCUGCCACACGUUGUCUUGUAGUCGCCAUCGUCUUGGAGGGAUUUUUGAUGACGUCGGAAGGUUGUGGGAGAUCUGGGCCACGCCUCUCUGGACCAGCUUUGGAAGAGUGCCAAAAUAAUUGCGCGAGCAUCCAUAACACCCGACAUUGUCAAGGCCGUACAAGCCGCAAGGGAACCCGGAUGUGUAUUCGCCGGGUCGCGUCUGAUUAUCAUGGCUGUGUACAUGGGUGCUGAUGACGUCAUGGAGAUAGUUUUGAUGUACAUGUAUGUACAUAUAUUGCAGCUUUUAAAUGCUGACACACUCACAGAGCACAGAACGGACCAACAAAUACACCCAAGAUACUGCGAACAGUUACAGAAAAAAACAGUUAAUCAUAAUUUUAAAGUUAAAAUGAUAGCCUAAGGUAAACUACCUUUUAUGUUAAGCAUGCAAUAAUGUGUGCACAGAAUUGAUUUGAAAAGUUAUUCCAAUGUAGCAAUUAAAUUAUUGUAUAUAAUGGGAAUGUAGUCUUCAAGGACGUGAAAUAAAAUUCAAUGUAAAAAUUCA